RNAcentral lists this ribosomal RNA (194 nucleotides) under uncultured bacterium. RNAcentral describes it as "partial 16S ribosomal RNA". It matches the Rfam family "Bacterial small subunit ribosomal RNA", at positions 338 to 524 of the family's 1533-position model. The record is from RNAcentral.
CCUACGGGAGGCAGCAGUGGGGAAUAUUGCACAAUGGGCGCAAGCCUGAUGCAGCCAUGCCGCGUGUAUGAAGAAGGCCUUCGGGUUGUAAAGUACUUUCAGUCAGGAGGAAGGGUGUGAAAUUAAUACUUUCAUGCAUUGACGUUACUGACAGAAGAAGCACCGGCUAACUCCGUGCCAGCAGCCGCGGUAAU